RNAcentral lists this small nuclear RNA (191 nucleotides) under Salmo salar (Atlantic salmon). RNAcentral describes it as "U2 spliceosomal RNA (ENSSSAG00000094564.1, ENSSSAG00000103577.1)". It matches the Rfam family "U2 spliceosomal RNA". Rfam says of the family: U2 is a small nuclear RNA (snRNA) component of the spliceosome (involved in pre-mRNA splicing). The record is from RNAcentral. Lineage: Eukaryota; Metazoa; Chordata; Actinopteri; Salmoniformes; Salmonidae.
AUCGCUUCUCGGCCUUUUGGCUCAGAUCAAGUGUAGUAUCUGUUCUUAUCAGUUUAAUAUCUGAUACGUUCCCCAUCGGGGGACUACAUAUUAAAUGGAUUUUUCGAACAGGGAGUCGGAAAUGGGGCUUGCUCCGUCCGCUCCACGCAUCGACCCGGUAUUGCAGUACCUCCGGGAAUGGUGCAACACUU